GUAGGUGAACCUGCGGAAGGAUCAUUAUUGAAUAAACUUGAACAGGCUGUUGCUGGCCCUCUCUUGUGAGGGGGACAUGUGCACGCUUGUCAUCUUUAUCUCUCCAACUGUGCACACAUUGUAGACCUGGAGUCGUCUUUGUUGAUUCAUUCGAGUUGGCACUGCAGCGCUUUUCAAAACAAAAAAAAGUCUGCUCUGCCUUUUGCAUUUCCAGGUCUAUGUCAUUUUCACAACCUCAAUGUGUUUAGAAUGUCGAAUCAGGUCCUUUUUUGUACCUAUAAAAGUUAAAUAUACAACUUUCAGCAACGGAUCUCUUGGCUCUC
This 323-nucleotide unclassified non-coding RNA is filed under the name rhizosphere metagenome. RNAcentral's name for it is "partial ribosomal RNA internal transcribed spacer region". The record is from RNAcentral.